RNAcentral lists this ribosomal RNA (466 nucleotides) under uncultured bacterium. Its description in RNAcentral is "partial 16S ribosomal RNA". It matches the Rfam family "Bacterial small subunit ribosomal RNA", at positions 28 to 507 of the family's 1533-position model. The record is from RNAcentral.
GAUGAACGCUGGCGGCGUGCUUAACACAUGCAAGUCGAACGAUGAAGCCCAGCUUGCUGGGUGGAUUAGUGGCGAACGGGUGAGUAACACGUGAGUAACCUGCCCUUAACUCUGGGAUAAGCCUGGGAAACUGGGUCUAAUACCGGAUAUGAGCGUCCACCGCAUGGGGGGUGGUGGAAAGAUUUAUCGGUUUUGGAUGGACUCGCGGCCUAUCAGCUUGUUGGUGGGGUAAUGGCUCACCAAGGCGACGACGGGUAGCCGGCCUGAGAGGGUGACCGGCCACACUGGGACUGAGACACGGCCCAGACUCCUACGGGAGGCAGCAGUGGGGAAUAUUGCACAAUGGGCGCAAGCCUGAUGCAGCGACGCCGCGUGAGGGAUGACGGCCUUCGGGUUGUAAACCUCUUUCAGUAGGGAAGAAGCGAAAGUGACGGUACCUGCAGAAGAAGCACCGGCUAACUACGUG